AAUGAAGAGGAAUGUCGCAAUGUUGGGGUAGAAAACUCUGGGUUUGCGACCGUAGCUUUCGUUUUCCGGCCAAUAGAGAGCCGCCUGAAGUCUGGUUGGGUUGGUGAGGCCCGAGGCAGGUAUCAGACAGACCCCCUUGGCCUGGUCCCUGCACUGUCCCAGGCCCACCUUGGACACCUCCAUUAUACUCAUGGAGAACAGAGCCCGUGGAAUGGAGGACCCUCCUGCAUGGCCUGCAGGUGACAUGGUGAGCUCUGCCCUGUGGUGGCCCAGCACCAUCGUGCCCGGUGCCCAGCCAAGCCCGACAGGCUACCAUUGGCCACACCCAAAAUCCAGGCAGUCAGGCAGAGAGUACAAAGCAAGACCUCAGAUCACAGCCACUGACCCUCCUAUCCCUCACUUCCCACCUGGGGCACCUUGGAAAUGUGUGAGCACACCAGAGAAAGAUCCAGUACCUGGUCUGCGACCACAGUGACCAAAAGGCCCUGCUCCACCUGUCUCACCAGGAAAUAGCAGCUGAGGACACAGAAUGCUGGACCUCUAUUCUCCUUCACAGCCACUGCCACAGUCCCCUGCUGCAGGUAGUGUCCUCUCAGAUUCAGCCAGUCUCCUCAUGAGGGGCCAGAGCAGAGCCUCUGCACAGAGUGUGAACACUCCUCUUGCUGGAUUCCUGGCCACAGGCCCUCCUCUCCUCAUUCAUAGCUUACCUCACUCCCUCCAGUCUGCCCUGCAUGGGUCCCUGGCUGACUGCAGAGAAGUCCUCUGGGCCCCCAAACAGGGACUCUCAGGUGUCCAAGUGAGAGCACAGUAUGCUGGGAGAGAGCGGAGCCCACACUGGUGGUUUGGGUUCUGGCCUCUGUCCCACCACUGGAGUGAGCCAAGUGACAGGUACCAAAGCAUGGCCUCUGUCCCUUGCAGUGGCCCCAAGUGCUCUUCCUGUGUGUCAGAGCUGUUUCCAAGGAACAAGUUAAAAUUUUUUUCAUUUAAGUGGCUGCUGAGGCUUAGUGUACAGAAUUCCUCAGCUAGAUCCAAAAAUCUGUCUUUUUGUCCGAGUCCCAAAAUUGUAGGAGCUUUGUAAACAGGUACUAAAGAUCACUCAUUAAAGGAGGGAGAAGAGUUGGGGGGAGGAGAAGGGAUCUGGAAUAUUUUCUUUCAGACUCAGUCUCAGCACAGCAGCAGCAUAAACCAAGCGGAUUGUUGGUGGCACCUUAGCACCCAGAGCAUUCUUGGAGGAGUGGGGACAAAGGCCAAGUGGCUGUUACCUGCACACAGGAGAGAUGACCAGGUCAGACAAAGGGCCUAGAAGGCAGACAUGAGUCAGUGCAGACUUUGUCCACCCAUGAGAGGGGGUCCAGGUGGGAUCUGUGUACCCUGCCCAACCUUGCUAAGGGCCAUCAAGCCAGCUCAAGGGCAAGGCCAGGACCAGCCAGACUAACAAGCAGCCUGGCCAUAGGCUUUGGCUGCUGUCCUUAACCCUCAAUCCCAGAAACAUGAGAAAGAGAAAGGGCAUCACCUGUGCCCAGGGACUGAGUCGCCCCAACUCAGGGAGCAUAACUGCUGUUCUAGCCGGGAGAUGCGGAACGCCAGGUACGAUGAAGACAUGACCAAGAAGCAGAUCCUGGAGAAAGAGGGCCUUAACCCUAAAUUACAGGGUUGUAGGGAUGAAAACUGGAGAUACUUUAUCUUGCUCUAGAAGAGCCUGCUGCACGGCUGCCAGACGCCACCCGGGAGCUUGCAGUUGACUCAGAACCUUCCCCUCGCUCUGGACACUGACCUCCCCACACACCAAGGCCCCGGCUCUAAACACUUAAGACACCCACCACCCUCCAUGCAGCCACCUACAGCACAAGGAAGACCUGCAGGAGCCCGUGAUCCCAGAGCCUCUGCUCCCCGUUGCUCUCGGGCUCAUCCUCCAGCCUCUCCUCCUCAGAGUCAGCGUUCUCUGCAACAGGACGGCGUUAGGCAGCUUCCUGGGCAGAAGGCAGGACCCCAGCCCACUCCCCCGCCCGUGUUCUCUGGAGCCGCUUGGGCUCUUGGCUUUCCCUUACGGAUUUGGAGAAAGAAAGAAACAGCUCUCAGAAGGCCUGCUGGCUGUGAUGACCUCUUUUUGCAGCAGUGGGAGGCAGGAAAGCCUGGUCUUUGCAAGCAGUUGCCAUGGACAAGCACGCUGAACUCACCAGACCCCGGAGGCUUCCUGGAGGGGAAGAAGUCAUCCGUGGAGUCCAUGGAUGCCCGAGGGAUACAAGGGAUGUUGUCUGGGAGGGACAGGGACCUGGAGGCAGGGCACACUUUUCUCCACUUCAUCUCAGGGAUGAGGACUUCCUGCAGAGAAGGCAGGAGAAGCUGUCUCACCGUGGCACCCUUGGGACCCCACUUGCCCUAAGGGGUUCACGCUAGAUUUACCAAAGCCUUUCCAGAUAGUAUCAAUAUGCCCAGCAAGCAUGAAAGCAGGUGCCCAGAAGCGGGGAAGCCACCGCCGUAGCAAUCACCCGUCUCAUCUGCUCCCUUGCUGUGACCAGCCACUCUUCCAGGGAAUGGUGUCUUUGAAGACUGCUAGUGUAGAACCACAGUGGAAUCUGAGACAUGAGCCAUCCCAGGUACAUGUUCAGAUCGGCUGAGUCCAAGACAGCUUGGCACUAUAUACCUUAGAUGGAAUAAGUUGUGACUCCUGCUAAUCUGAGCUCUAACCCUAUGUCACUGACCUUGAUUUAAGGUCCCCAUCAAUAAAAAGGGGAACAUCGCCUUCCCUCCCCUGCA
Mesoplodon densirostris (Blainville's beaked whale) is the source of this 2757-nucleotide RNA transcript. It is a transcript of the gene named SUMO peptidase family member, NEDD8 specific, with no coding region annotated. NCBI's taxonomy places the organism in Eukaryota, Metazoa, Chordata, Mammalia, Artiodactyla, Ziphiidae. The transcript is spliced from 3 exons. The record is from RefSeq and is a predicted model, not a curated record.